AAAUUGAAGAGUUUGAUCAUGGCUCAGAUUGAACGCUGGCGGCAGGCCUAACACAUGCAAGUCGAACGGUAACAGGAAGCAGCUUGCUGCUUUGCUGACGAGUGGCGGACGGGUGAGUAAUGUCUGGGAAACUGCCUGAUGGAGGGGGAUAACUACUGGAAACGGUGGCUAAUACCGCAUAACGUCGCAAGACCAAAGAGGGGGACCUUCGGGCCUCUUGCCAUCAGAUGUGCCCAGAUGGGAUUAGCUUGUUGGUGAGGUAACGGCUCACCAAGGCGACGAUCCCUAGCUGGUCUGAGAGGAUGACCAGCCACACUGGAACUGAGACACGGUCCAGACUCCUACGGGAGGCAGCAGUGGGGAAUAUUGCACAAUGGGCGCAAGCCUGAUGCAGCCAUGCCGCGUGUAUGAAGAAGGCCUUCGGGUUGUAAAGUACUUUCAGCGGGGAGGAAGGUGUUGUGGUUAAUAACCGCAGCAAUUGACGUUACCCGCAGAAGAAGCACCGGCUAACUCCGUGCCAGCAGCCGCGGUAAUACGGAGGGUGCAAGCGUUAAUCGGAAUUACUGGGCGUAAAGCGCACGCAGGCGGUCUGUCAAGUCGGAUGUGAAAUCCCCGGGCUCAACCUGGGAACUGCAUUCGAAACUGGCAGGCUUGAGUCUUGUAGAGGGGGGUAGAAUUCCAGGUGUAGCGGUGAAAUGCGUAGAGAUCUGGAGGAAUACCGGUGGCGAAGGCGGCCCCCUGGACAAAGACUGACGCUCAGGUGCGAAAGCGUGGGGAGCAAACAGGAUUAGAUACCCUGGUAGUCCACGCCGUAAACGAUGUCUACUUGGAGGUUGUGCCCUUGAGGCGUGGCUUCCGGAGCUAACGCGUUAAGUAGACCGCCUGGGGAGUACGGCCGCAAGGUUAAAACUCAAAUGAAUUGACGGGGGCCCGCACAAGCGGUGGAGCAUGUGGUUUAAUUCGAUGCAACGCGAAGAACCUUACCUGGUCUUGACAUCCACAGAAGAAUCCAGAGAUGGAUUUGUGCCUUCGGGAACUGUGAGACAGGUGCUGCAUGGCUGUCGUCAGCUCGUGUUGUGAAAUGUUGGGUUAAGUCCCGCAACGAGCGCAACCCUUAUCCUUUGUUGCCAGCGAUUAGGUCGGGAACUCAAAGGAGACUGCCAGUGAUAAACUGGAGGAAGGUGGGGAUGACGUCAAGUCAUCAUGGCCCUUACGACCAGGGCUACACACGUGCUACAAUGGCGCAUACAAAGAGAAGCGACCUCGCGAGAGCAAGCGGACCUCAUAAAGUGCGUCGUAGUCCGGAUUGGAGUCUGCAACUCGACUCCAUGAAGUCGGAAUCGCUAGUAAUCGUGGAUCAGAAUGCCACGGUGAAUACGUUCCCGGGCCUUGUACACACCGCCCGUCACACCAUGGGAGUGGGUUGCAAAAGAAGUAGGUAGCUUAACCUUCGGGAGGGCGCUUACCACUUUGUGAUUCAUGACUGGGGUGAAGUCGUAACAAGGUAACCGUAGGGGAACCUGCGGUUGGAUCACCUCCUUACCUGAAAGAA
Molecule: ribosomal RNA, 1552 nt
Filed under: Salmonella enterica subsp. enterica serovar Pullorum
Lineage: Bacteria; Pseudomonadati; Pseudomonadota; Gammaproteobacteria; Enterobacterales; Enterobacteriaceae
Also listed under: 1 other name
Description: 16S ribosomal RNA
Rfam family: Bacterial small subunit ribosomal RNA
Source: RNAcentral